This 1362-nucleotide ribosomal RNA is filed under the name uncultured Bacillus sp. Its description in RNAcentral is "bacterial SSU rRNA". It matches the Rfam family "Bacterial small subunit ribosomal RNA", at positions 36 to 1368 of the family's 1533-position model. The record is from RNAcentral. Lineage: Bacteria; Bacillati; Bacillota; Bacilli; Caryophanales; Bacillaceae.
CUCAGUACCGCUAGACGAUAAUGCAGUCGAGCGAACAGAAGGGAGCUUGCUCCCGGAUGUUAGCGGCGGACGGGUGAGUAACACGUGGGUAACCUGCCUGUAAGACUGGGAUAACUCCGGGAAACCGGAGCUAAUACCGGAUAGUUCCUUGAACCGCAUGGUUCAAGGAUGAAAGACGGUUUCGGCUGUCACUUACAGAUGGACCCGCGGCGCAUUAGCUAGUUGGUGGGGUAAUGGCUCACCAAGGCGACGAUGCGUAGCCGACCUGAGAGGGUGAUCGGCCACACUGGGACUGAGACACGGCCCAGACUCCUACGGGAGGCAGCAGUAGGGAAUCUUCCGCAAUGGACGAAAGUCUGACGGAGCAACGCCGCGUGAGUGAUGAAGGUUUUCGGAUCGUAAAGCUCUGUUGUUAGGGAAGAACAAGUGCGAGAGUAACUGCUCGCACCUUGACGGUACCUAACCAGAAAGCCACGGCUAACUACGUGCCAGCAGCCGCGGUAAUACGUAGGUGGCAAGCGUUGUCCGGAAUUAUUGGGCGUAAAGGGCUCGCAGGCGGUUUCUUAAGUCUGAUGUGAAAGCCCCCGGCUCAACCGGGGAGGGUCAUUGGAAACUGGGAAACUUGAGUGCAGAAGAGGAGAGUGGAAUUCCACGUGUAGCGGUGAAAUGCGUAGAGAUGUGGAGGAACACCAGUGGCGAAGGCGACUCUCUGGUCUGUAACUGACGCUGAGGAGCGAAAGCGUGGGGAGCGAACAGGAUUAGAUACCCUGGUAGUCCACGCCGUAAACGAUGAGUGCUAAGUGUUAGGGGGUUUCCGCCCCUUAGUGCUGCAGCUAACGCAUUAAGCACUCCGCCUGGGGAGUACGGUCGCAAGACUGAAACUCAAAGGAAUUGACGGGGGCCCGCACAAGCGGUGGAGCAUGUGGUUUAAUUCGAAGCAACGCGAAGAACCUUACCAGGUCUUGACAUCCUCUGACAACCCUAGAGAUAGGGCUUUCCCUUCGGGGACAGAGUGACAGGUGGUGCAUGGUUGUCGUCAGCUCGUGUCGUGAGAUGUUGGGUUAAGUCCCGCAACGAGCGCAACCCUUGAUCUUAGUUGCCAGCAUUCAGUUGGGCACUCUAAGGUGACUGCCGGUGACAAACCGGAGGGAAAGGUGGGGGAUGACGUCAAAUCAUCAUGCCCCUUAUGACCGGGGCUACACACGUGCUACAAUGGAACAGAACAAAGGGCUGCGAAAACCGCAAGGUUUAGCCAAUCCCAUAAAUCUGGUUCCCAGUUUCGGAUCCCAGUCCUGCAACUCCAACUGGCGUGAAACUUGGAAUCCCUUAUUAACCCCGGAAUCACCCUGCCCCGGGUGGAAC